RNAcentral lists this ribosomal RNA (253 nucleotides) under uncultured bacterium. RNAcentral's name for it is "partial 16S ribosomal RNA". It matches the Rfam family "Bacterial small subunit ribosomal RNA", at positions 524 to 776 of the family's 1533-position model. RNAcentral also lists the same sequence under 1 other name. The record is from RNAcentral.
UACGGAGGAUGCAAGCGUUAUCCGGAAUUAUUGGGCGUAAAGCGUCCGCAGGUGGCACUUCAAGUCUGCUGUCAAAGACCGGGGCUUAACCCUGGAAAGGCAGUGGAAACUGAAGCGCUAGAGUGUGGCAGGGGUAGAGGGAAUUCCCGGUGUAGCGGUGAAAUGCGUAGAGAUCGGGAAGAACAUCGGUGGCGAAAGCGCUCUACUGGGCCACAACUGACACUCAGGGACGAAAGCUAGGGGAGCGAAUGGG